UAAAAAUUAUGUAAAAUGCCUGAUAGGUUCACAAACUAAAUGGUGAUAUAAAUAUACUAUUUGAAAGUGUAUAUAUAUAUAUAUACUAUUUAAAAUAUGAGUUAAAACGUGGGUAUCGACAUAAUAUAUGAUAACAUUCAAAGCAUCUGAUCCAUCCCAUAGUCGUUUGAGCUUAGUGAAGUAUCCUGAAAUGUCACUGUUUACCUGUACUAAUCAUGAUAACUCCUUCUUCAGAUGAUAAAGCUUGACUCCAAUUGAUCUCCCAAAUCUCUGGUCCAGGAUGUCCUAAAGCUCUUUUGUAGUUUUGGCGUAUAUCACACUGUCUGCAAUAUCUUUUGAGAGAACAUUUAGGAUCCAAGAGAUGACCAUGUCAUUCACUCAAUUUCAUUGUUCAUACUUUGGAGAUAUCAUAUCUGUAGAUUGACAGGCUCUAUUGAUGAAAUCAAGCUUCUUAUUGGCUGACAAAGACAGGAGAAUAGAUCUCCUCCACCCUGGGUAUUCUGUUCUAUCAAACACAGUAUUGACUAGAGUUAUUCCAGGUGAAUCAAAGUUGUUGAGAUGAUAAGGGUGAUUGACAUCAUAGCUAAUUAGUUUAGCAAUAUUGCUCGUAUCACCAGUAGAUGUCGUGGUUGUGUCAGGCAUUUUAGGUUACUAAUUUUGACGAUCAAUCUGAUGUAAAAGAAUUUGAUUUUGGACUGUUGGAUCAGGCUUAUUGUUCUAAUACCACGUAAGAAAUUGAAGAAGAAAUUUUAAUUGAAAGGUUCUCUGUAUAUCUUAUUCAUUGCUUGUACAUGUAUUUAUAUACACUUGCAUCUGAAAAAAU
This 823-nucleotide long non-coding RNA is filed under the name Nicotiana benthamiana. Its description in RNAcentral is "long non-coding RNA (NBEN_LNC017248)". The record is from RNAcentral. Lineage: Eukaryota; Viridiplantae; Streptophyta; Magnoliopsida; Solanales; Solanaceae.